AAUUUAUAUUUCUUCCAAUUCAUAACGAUAAUUCUCCCACUGAGCUACAGAUCCUUGCGGCCACACUACUUCUACUCCAUUAUCAAUCUCAGAUCUGUUCAUAUAUCCCAUUUUGGAGCAGUUCGUUUGGGGGCUAUCAGUUAUCUGCUCUUAAUUUCAAUUUUCUAGUUUGUGAUUCUGGGUACUGGAGUGAACUAGUGCUAUUUAUUGGAGAAUUGGAA
RNAcentral lists this unclassified non-coding RNA (221 nucleotides) under Hevea brasiliensis (rubber tree). Lineage: Eukaryota; Viridiplantae; Streptophyta; Magnoliopsida; Malpighiales; Euphorbiaceae. The record is from RNAcentral.